UACGUAGGGCGCAAGCGUUGUCCGGAAUUAUUGGGCGUAAAGAGCUCGUAGGCGGCUUGUCACGUCGGGUGUGAAAGCCCGGGGCUUAACCCCGGGUCUGCAGUCGAUACGGGCAGGCUAGAGUUCGGUAGGGGAGAUCGGAAUUCCUGGUGUAGCGGUGAAAUGCGCAGAUAUCAGGAGGAACACCGGUGGCGAAGGCGGAUCUCUGGGCCGAUACUGACGCUGAGGAGCGAAAGCGUGGGGAGCGAACAGG
RNAcentral lists this ribosomal RNA (253 nucleotides) under uncultured bacterium. Its description in RNAcentral is "partial 16S ribosomal RNA". It matches the Rfam family "Bacterial small subunit ribosomal RNA", at positions 524 to 776 of the family's 1533-position model. The record is from RNAcentral.